Molecule: long non-coding RNA, 190 nt
Organism: Saccostrea cuccullata (small rock oyster)
Lineage: Eukaryota; Metazoa; Mollusca; Bivalvia; Ostreida; Ostreidae
Exons: 3
Source: RefSeq, a predicted model, not a curated record
GCAGGAGAAGGAAUCACCCUCUGAAAUGACAGAUACCCAGGAGGCUAGAAGUUCUGAUGAAGAUGAACAGGUUGAAAAAAAUGGUGAACAGAAGAAAAGUGGUGCCACUGAAGAUGAAAAGACAAAAGAUGAUGCCAAUAAAGAAAAUGAACAGACAAUUUUCAAGAUCAAGAAAGUUAUAUACUCAGAG